GCCUGGCUGGCUUAGUCAGCAGAGCACAGGACUCUGAAUCUCAGGCUUGUGAGUUCAAACCCCACGUCGGGCA
This 73-nucleotide transfer RNA is filed under the name Mustela putorius furo (domestic ferret). It matches the Rfam family "tRNA". Rfam says of the family: Transfer RNA (tRNA) molecules are approximately 80 nucleotides in length. Their secondary structure includes four short double-helical elements and three loops (D, anti-codon, and T loops). Further hydrogen bonds mediate the characteristic L-shaped molecular structure. tRNAs have two regions of fundamental functional importance: the anti-codon, which is responsible for specific mRNA codon recognition, and the 3' end, to which the tRNAs corresponding amino acid is attached (by aminoacyl-tRNA synthetases). tRNAs cope with the degeneracy of the genetic code in two manners: having more than one tRNA (with a specific anti-codon) for a particular amino acid; and 'wobble' base-pairing, i.e. permitting non-standard base-pairing at the 3rd anti-codon position. The record is from Rfam by way of RNAcentral. Lineage: Eukaryota; Metazoa; Chordata; Mammalia; Carnivora; Mustelidae.